This 433-nucleotide ribosomal RNA is filed under the name uncultured bacterium. RNAcentral describes it as "partial 16S ribosomal RNA". It matches the Rfam family "Bacterial small subunit ribosomal RNA", at positions 29 to 507 of the family's 1533-position model. The record is from RNAcentral.
AACGAACGCUGGCGGCAUGCCUAACACAUGCAAGUCGAACGAGACCUUCGGGUCUAGUGGCGCACGGGUGCGUAACGCGUGGGAACCUGCCCUUAGGUUCGGAAUAACUCCCCGAAAGGGGUGCUAAUACCGGAUAAUGUCUUCGGGCCAAAGAUUUAUCGCCUUUGGAUGGGCCCGCGUUGGAUUAGCUAGUUGGUAGGGUAACAGCCUACCAAGGCGACGAUCCAUAGCUGGUCUGAGAGGAUGAUCAGCCACACUGGGACUGAGACACGGCCCAGACUCCUACGGGAGGCAGCAGUGGGGAAUAUUGGACAAUGGGCGAAAGCCUGACCCAGCAAUGCCGCGUGAGUGAUGAAGGCCUUAGGGUUGUAAAGCUCUUUUACCCGGGAUGAUAAUGACAGUACCGGGAGAAGAAGCUCCGGCUAACUCCGUG